Peromyscus eremicus (cactus mouse) is the source of this 692-nucleotide long non-coding RNA. RefSeq lists it as uncharacterized. The transcript has 2 exons. The record is from RefSeq and is a predicted model, not a curated record. Lineage: Eukaryota; Metazoa; Chordata; Mammalia; Rodentia; Cricetidae.
UACUUUAUCCUCUUUUUUUUCUUCCCUAAUCUCUGUUGGUGGUUUUUCUUGAAAGCUACAGCCUUUCCGGGAGUGGAAGCUGCCAUUCCAGUGUCGAUGGCUUCCUGUGCUACCUCCACUUCGUUGGCUUAGGCCAUCAUAACCUCGGGAAGAGCCAUGCCAACCAGAUAGAUUCCCUGUGGUUCCAGAAUAUGUUCCCUUAGAGACACCAGAGUCCACAGAAUCAUGGCGGAAUAAAGAGGGUUGGUGCCAAGAAUCUAAAAUAGCAAGGAAAAGUAAGGUAUUAGUUGUCUAUUUCCUAUAAAUUCAGAAAUAACUCGGCCAGAUGCUUCCUGCUUUGGUCAAAGUUACUUUCAAAAGAACUUCAGGAAACCUUUAAAACAAGAAGUCCACACAAAGAAACCAUUAAAUGCACCUUUUCCACAUGGUGCUGGAGAUCAACUCAAAGUCCCGCUGUGUUAAGUGCACACACCGUGAGCACAAUUCCCAGCCCUUCCAAACAGUUCUCUGACUGAAAAGAUGAUCCAUAACAACGUGUUAGGUGCAGAAACCAGGAGAAUGAAGGCUAAGGAAUCUGAAGAACACUGGACAAAUGAGACAACUGAAGAAAAAGGACAAAUCAUCUAUCCCAGGAAACAGAGUAAAAUGGCCUAUUGGUGUAUCAUCUAUAAAAUUUCGUAAGACUUCCUAAA